UUGUUCUAGAUUUUUCUAUUUCAUAUUCAUGUAAGGACAAUACUUCGCGGCCCAGCUAUGGGCAGCCCUUCCUAAACAAGAGUGGCGUGUCUCACUCCUGGUCCAACACGUGUUGUUUUUUUUUGGCCAUCAUUUGUGUCUUCUGUUUUCCUUCUCCUUCUUCCUCUUCUCCACUCCUUAUCACGUCCUCACCCCAACCAAAUUGACCAUCCCCAAACCUCACUCCUUCUCCUCUUUAAUUCUAUGAGGACGACCCAACCUGCGAAGGUGGUGGUCGGGGAGAUGGAUCAGACGGUGGUGGUCGGAGAUGUAAGUCUUUUCCAGUGAGAAUCAAUUGUGGGAGUUUGAGCUCCAAUGAUCGCUUUGGUGAGUCGAAUCAGAGACAAUUUCCGAGCUCCAAUCCGUCUGCAUUUACUAGAAAUCCAGGGAUGGAUAGAAGGUUUGAUAACAAAUUUAGGGAUAAUGCUGUGUAGGAAGAUGAGUUUUCGGGGAGGAGAGGUCCGAAUUUCAGAGGGAAUCGAAUGCAAGUUCGAGUUCUUUAAGUAAGAGAGGAAGGAGAAGGUGGAUUCGGUUUCAGACGAGGCGGCGAGGGGUUGAGGAAAGGUGGGAGAGAUUCGAGAAAGAUUGUGGUGGAUGAUAGGGAGUGGAGAAGAGGAAGAGAAAGAACAAAAGAUGGGAUAAAAAAAAACACGUGUUGGACCGAGAGUAAGACACGCCAAUCUUGGUUCGGAAGAGUUGCCCAUAGCUGGGCAGCGAAGUAUUGUCCCUCAUGUAAUUGAUCUUGUGUGAUGGAAAAUGGAGCAAGAAGAUGGUGCUAUAUUGAUUCAUAUGUCAGAGUCAAUAAUCUAGCAGUAUGUGGAUUGCUCAUGCCAUAAAUAUCUGAACCAUGUCUUUCUCACUUGUAGUCUGGUCUUACUGGAGAGUCACUUUUAGUGACCAAAAAUCCUGGUUGUGGCGUUUACUCAAGAUCAACAUGCAAACAAGGAGAAAUUGAAGCAGAUGUUAGUGCAACAAGAUUCUAGAUUUUGUUGUCUAAGUAACUUCCAACAAGAUUUCAGAUUUUGUAUAGAAGAAGAAUGGUAUUAUCAAAAGUUCCAUGCGGUGUAUGUAGUGUUCUCAUCCUAUGAAGGAUAUUUGUAAUGUGAUAUAACACAUGUUGCAUCCUCUUCGACUUGCUUCGCUUCCUUGCACCUUUCCUUUUUGGAGAUGUACCUAUGGUUCCAAUUUACUAUAUGUCAUGAUGUGAUCAGUCAUUGUAUUAUAAUUUAGUCUAAGAUAUGCCAUGACUUGUUACAGGAUUC
Long non-coding RNA from Rosa rugosa (rugosa rose), 1301 nucleotides. RefSeq lists it as uncharacterized. The transcript has 2 exons. NCBI's taxonomy places the organism in Eukaryota, Viridiplantae, Streptophyta, Magnoliopsida, Rosales, Rosaceae. The record is from RefSeq and is a predicted model, not a curated record.